CAAACAGCGCCCGGGCGCGGGGUGCGAGGCUCCGUCACGAGGCGCUCCGUCCCGCCCCGCCGGCUGGAGGGCCCAUGGAGGCCGCGAGCAGAGAGCGGCCGAGUGAGGGAACGCGGCCGGUAGGGCCUCGCACCCCGGAGGAAGCGGGCUGCGGUGCGGAAGCAGCAGCGGGAGGCGCCGGGCCACCCGAGACGGGACUCCUUACAUAAGCGAGGAGUGCCCGUGUCCCGCUCCCCGGUUUUGUACACGCCCCGGGCUUUCGAAAUUGUCCCUGUGCAGCUGCGGGAUGUGCCGGGUCGCAAGGCGCAGCGCAGCGCGGGUGGAAGCGGGGCUCGCCUUUCUCCGGCUCCACCAGUUAGCGUCCGCUGGAAUCACCACAGAAAGGGUUUAACACAGAGCAUUUCCGAGGUGUUCAAGGUUGUGAUGAAAAGAAGGCACAGAGGAGUUACCAAAGCUUUGCCAGCCUUGGUGUGAAUACAGCAAUCGGAUGUAACAGCAGUUUCAAGGCUGCAGAGAGCCAUCAGGGCUUCCCCUGUUUAUCUACAAAAUGAGGUUUUUCCCAAACAAGAUGCCUUCUCAGCCAAAAUUUGAAGUCCUGCUUGAAAGUGGAGGAGGAUGGAAUAUCUUACCUGGCAAAAUUCUUUCUGAAGGAUAGCAGGAAGAUCACAUCCCCUCAGUGUACAUCUUCAGCAAAAAGUGUGCACAGCCAGUACAUAAUAGAGUUGAAAAAAUGUGGACCCUCACCAUUAUAUGUAUAAUCCUCCAAUUGAAGAGCAACAAGUUCUCCUCUCCUACUGGGACACGAAGAUGUUAUGCUCGUGCAUUUAUGACGACCACUGAUGGACAAUCAUCACCUCCAUAACUAUGCAAAUGACUACCUCAUUCUCAGAUUGUAUGUACUGACUGCUAGGAAAAGAGUAUGGGGCCUUAGGAAGAGAUACACAAUCAGGAUGCAUCAUCUGGCUCGUCUGCUGUGUGCUACCGUGAUUGGAGGAGUAGCUGUGGAGAUGCUCCAUUUCUGGAAAAUAAGUUUCCUACACCCUGCCAGACCUGGACAAGAGGAAUUAAUACUGAAAGAUCCAGCAGCAAAAAGCCUUUGAAGCUCACUUCUUAGAGGUGCUGCUGUUACAACAGAUAAAAUGAGCUGGCAGAAAGGAAAGAAGGAACUUACAGAAGAAAGCAUAGGAGAUGGGAAACACAACCGAAAAAAGCGGGAGCGAAUAUUUAAGAAAAGAUUUUCUGGACUGAGUCUCUUCUCUGGGUCUCCUAGGAAUAAACUCCCUCAGGGAAGGAGUCAGAGUUUUGAAGACAAGAAGAGAUGUUUACACAGGAAAGGUUCCAAAAAGCCGAAGCCAGCACGGGAGGAAAUAUGUUCUUUAAGGCAACCACAUUCUGGAAAAAUGUGUCCAAAAUGUGAAAUCCUUGUCUGCCGAAAAUGUGAGACACUGCAUUCAGGAAGCAGCUUCAUUGCUCACAGCCUGCUUGAUCACUACGACAGAGGAGGACAGGGCAGCUCUACUACAUUGAUUACAAAAAGCCAGAAAGUACGCAGAGGCGAUUAAAGAACCUAUGUGGGUGCCUUGUUGAUACCUGACUACAUUGAAAAUGCUGAAAAGCUUGGAUCCAUUUAGCCUGAACCCUCGGUCUGCACGAUCUGUAUGCAGCAUCAGCAACUGCAGCUAUACUGUUGUUGACACUUACUAUAUGUAGCAGAUGCACAUCCACUCAUUUAACCAGUAUAAAGUCUGUAAGUAGGAACUGUAAGUGUCUCAGCUACUAAGAACAGGAAAUGAUAUCAGUUUCAAAGAGUUUUAUUUUUCGUCUCAAGGAAUCAAGAUUAUCACCUUGAGCUGCAAAAGAGAAAGCAAGUAUUAAAUGCAGAACCAACGGGUACAUUACAAUUGUUUGUAAUGUGUAGGUAUGUUUCAGUGUUACUUGUGGCCUGGAAUAUUAAACUUAUUUUUAAAUUCA
Molecule: long non-coding RNA, 1971 nt
Organism: Numida meleagris (helmeted guineafowl)
Lineage: Eukaryota; Metazoa; Chordata; Aves; Galliformes; Numididae
Exons: 9
Source: RefSeq, a predicted model, not a curated record